RNAcentral lists this ribosomal RNA (460 nucleotides) under uncultured bacterium. Its description in RNAcentral is "partial 16S ribosomal RNA". It matches the Rfam family "Bacterial small subunit ribosomal RNA", at positions 338 to 795 of the family's 1533-position model. The record is from RNAcentral.
CCUACGGGGGGCAGCAGUGAGGAAUAUUGGUCAAUGGACGAGAGUCUGAACCAGCCAAGUAGCGUGAAGGAUGACUGCCCUAUGGGUUGUAAACUUCUUUUAUAUGGGAAUAAAACGUUCCACGUGUGGGAUUUUGUAUGUACCAUAUGAAUAAGGAUCGGCUAACUCCGUGCCAGCAGCCGCGGUAAUACGGAGGAUCCGAGCGUUAUCCGGAUUUAUUGGGGUUAAAGGGAGCGUAGGUGGAUUGUUAAGUCAGUUGUGAAAGUUUGCGGCUCAACCGUAAAAUUGCAGUUGAAACUGGCAGUCUUGAGUACAGUAGAGGUGGGCGGAAUGCGUGGUGUAGCGGUGAAAUGCUUAGAUAUCACGAAGAACUCCGAUUGCGAAGGCAGUUCACUGGACUGCAACUGACACUGAGGCUCGAAAGUGUGGGUAUCAAACAGGAUUAGAUACCCCAGUAGUC